This 255-nucleotide ribosomal RNA is filed under the name Streptomyces griseoaurantiacus M045. RNAcentral describes it as "partial small subunit ribosomal RNA". It matches the Rfam family "Bacterial small subunit ribosomal RNA", at positions 1 to 260 of the family's 1533-position model. The record is from RNAcentral. Lineage: Bacteria; Bacillati; Actinomycetota; Actinomycetes; Kitasatosporales; Streptomycetaceae.
UCACGGAGAGUUUGAUCCUGGCUCAGGACGAACGCUGGCGGCGUGCUUAACACAUGCAAGUCGAACGAUGAACCACUUCGGUGGGGAUUAGUGGCGAACGGGUGAGUAACACGUGGGCAAUCUGCCCUGCACUCUGGGACAAGCCCUGGAAACGGGGUCUAAUACCGGAUACAACCACUGACCGCAUGGUCGGGUGGUGGAAAGCUCCGGCGGUGCAGGAUGAGCCCGCGGCCUAUCAGCUUGUUGGUGAGGUAA